This 253-nucleotide ribosomal RNA is filed under the name uncultured bacterium. RNAcentral describes it as "partial 16S ribosomal RNA". It matches the Rfam family "Bacterial small subunit ribosomal RNA", at positions 524 to 776 of the family's 1533-position model. The record is from RNAcentral.
UACGUAGGGGGCAAGCGUUGUCCGGAAUUAUUGGGCGUAAAGAGCGUGUAGGCGGCCAGAUAAGUCCGCUGUGAAAUCUCGAGGCUCAACUUCGAGCUGUCGGUGGAAACUAUCUGGCUAGAGUCCGGAAGAGGAGAAUGGAAUUCCUGGUGUAGCGGUGGAAUGCGCAGAUAUCAGGAGGAACACCGGUGGCGAAGGCGGGUCUCUGGGCAGUAACUGACGCUGAGGAGCGAAAGCGUGGGGAGCGAACAGG